Molecule: ribosomal RNA, 492 nt
Filed under: uncultured bacterium
Lineage: Bacteria
Description: partial 16S ribosomal RNA
Rfam family: Bacterial small subunit ribosomal RNA
Source: RNAcentral
AGUGAACGCUGGCGGUAGGCCUAACACAUGCAAGUCGAACGGCAGCACAGUAAGAGCUUGCUCUUACGGGUGGCGAGUGGCGGACGGGUGAGGAAUACAUCGGAAUCUACUUUUUCGUGGGGGAUAACGUAGGGAAACUUACGCUAAUACCGCAUACGACCUACGGGUGAAAGCAGGGGAUCUUCGGACCUUGCGCGAUUGAAUGAGCCGAUGUCGGAUUAGCUAGUUGGCGGGGUAAAGGCCCACCAAGGCGACGAUCCGUAGCUGGUCUGAGAGGAUGAACAGCCACAGUGGAACUGAGGGACGGACAGGAGUCCGACGGGAGGCGGCAGUGGGGGAUAUUGGACAAGGGGCGCAAGACUGAUCCAGCUAUAGCGAGAAGGUGAAGAAGGCCUUCGGGUUCUAAGGCCCUUUUGUUGUGAAAAAAAAGCAGCAGGUUAAUACCCCGCUGUUCGGACGGUACCCAAAGAAUAAGAACCGGCGAACUUGGGG